This is a long non-coding RNA of Oreochromis aureus, 1178 nucleotides long. The record is from Ensembl. Lineage: Eukaryota; Metazoa; Chordata; Actinopteri; Cichliformes; Cichlidae.
UGAGGAGGAGGAACUGUUCAACUGAAAAGUUACAACCUCCACGGCUGCAUUCUUACACAUUUGUUGAAAAGAGAACGUGUAAAAGGUGUGCAUUCUGGUACCCUGCAGUCAAAAUGAAGAACCCUGUUCUCCUCUCUGCAGCCCUGCUGCUGCUGUUUUUUGUUGGGACAUCAGCUCAGGGUAACACUAACUUCAGAGUGCAGGUGAAUGUGCCACCCAGUGACAUUAAGACCUACAACACUUCUACUGCUUAUAGAGGAAGCCUCUUCGGUGGACUGACGAGACUGAAAUACUCAAACCAAGGCUUCAAGUAUGGGAUGUUACCUUCCAACAGCAAAUGAAGUCGUCACCCUGAAAUACACGAAAAUUUAAGACCAUCUAAAGUCUUAUUGUUACUUAUGGUCAACCAAUACACUUUGAUCUUUGGCAAGUUGAGGUGAAUAAUUGACUUGUUGUGUCAUUUUUUUGCUUGGGAGUCUUUUAAUCAUAAAUCAGUAGCCUAUCACUGUCUUAGAUUCUUUUACUGGGUUUCUGUCAGACUUUAUGAAUUAAGAUUACAGCGUUAAUCUACAAUUCUGCCACAGUGUAGUAAUCUGAAGUAAGAGAAAACUCCAUCAGUCACAAGAGCAAUCAGUAAAACAUAUACAACACUUCCGUAUUAGUCAACUGAAGUUCUUGAAUUGUUUUUUAAUUUACUGCCUUUAUGGCAACUUUUAUUGUGUUUGAGAGUAAUUAAUAGUUUCUCAACUUGCCCCUGAGUGUCAUAAUUUUACAUUCAAAUUUCAUUUUUUGAGAGCUACAAGUGCUCUCAGUUUUACUCUAAAAAGAUGGUGUGGUUAUACAGUAGACUGCCCAGAGACUGCUGGCCAGCAAAAACAGCAAGGUGGGUCAGCUGCUGACUCCAUGUCAAAAUAGCUUCUUUAUCCUGCAAAUCAAGUUAUCAACAGCUUGCGAGUCAAAAGGCUUCUGAGAUUGACUGGGCUGCUGACCUCCACCUGGACACCAGCAGGUCUCAAGAUCAGCUGUGAAAUUAAAGCUAUUUUUAUACUUUUGGGGCUCCUAGAGGGGUGUGAGAGGGGCAAAAUAAGAUCAAAUUCAUUGUUGAAUCAUUUUUGUAUUAGUGCAUUUUUAUUGUUUAUUAAAAUGUUACUGAUUAUUAGUGUUAUCUUUUGCAGGCA